UGCAGUUAAAGCUCGUAGUUGGAUUUUGGUUAAGAGGGCGCGGUCGGCCGUUUGGUCUGUACUGCGUUGUCUUGACUUCCUGAUGAGGACAUGCUCUUGGUUAACGCUGAGACAUGGAGUCAUCGUGGUUACUUUGAAAAAAUUAGAGUGUUCAAAGCGGGCUUACGCUUGAAUAUAUUAGCAUGGAAUAACACUAUAGGACUCCUGUCCUAUCUCGUUGGUCUCGGGAUGGGAGUAAUGAUUAAGAGGAACAGUUGGGGGCAUUCGUAUUUCAUUGUCAGAGGUGAAAUUCUUGGAUUUAUGAAAGACGAACUUCUGCGAAAGCAUUUGCCAAGGAUGUUUUCAUUAAUCAAGAACGAAAGUUGGGGGCUCGAAGAUGAUUAGAUACCAUCCUAGUCUCAACCAUAAACGAUGCCGACUAGGGAUUGGUGGAUGUUAAUUGAUGACUUCACCAGCACCUUAUGAGAAAUCAAAGUUUUUGGGUUCCGGGGGGAGUAUGGUCGCAAGGCUGAAACUUAAAGGAAUUGACGGAAGGGCACCACCAGGCGUGGAGCCUGCGGCUUAAUUUGACUCAACACGGGGAAACUUACCAGGUCCAGACAUAAGUAUGAUUGACAGAUUGAGAGCUCUUUCUUGAUUCUAUG
RNAcentral lists this ribosomal RNA (644 nucleotides) under uncultured prasinophyte. Its description in RNAcentral is "SSU rRNA". It matches the Rfam family "Eukaryotic small subunit ribosomal RNA", at positions 614 to 1272 of the family's 1831-position model. The record is from RNAcentral. Lineage: Eukaryota; Viridiplantae; Chlorophyta.